This 1502-nucleotide long non-coding RNA is filed under the name Capsicum annuum. RNAcentral's name for it is "long non-coding RNA (CANN_LNC007212)". The record is from RNAcentral. Lineage: Eukaryota; Viridiplantae; Streptophyta; Magnoliopsida; Solanales; Solanaceae.
GUUUUGUAGUGUUGUGGCACUAUUAGUUAGAGGCAGUGUACUUAGCACCUUUGAUGAUUUCAUUUCUCAGUCCAAGUUUUGACCCAUUCAAUGUUAUUCUCCGUCAGACUCGUGAGGCAUAUGACUUUAGAUUUCACCAUGAUAGGUGCACUUUUACUUCUAACUUAGAACUUUUCAUUUAUAGGUUUGGGGUUCUCGUACCCGUCGAUAAUUUUAUGCCUUGGUAGGUUCAUAUCAAUUAUGGUGUGCCUUUAUAUAUAAUUCAUGAUUUAAUGAAUACUCUCAUAGAUGAUUUCUUUUUAUAGUAGAUAGGAUGGAUUAGUGUGAUAUUUCCCUAGAGGUGUACUAUUUUGGUUUUAGUCCCAUUUACCUUAGCAUAUUAGCCUUCUUAUAGCCUUGUGUUGGUACUUGUUGAUUUUCAUUUUUGGGUUCCAUUUAUCUUUUAUACUAAUGUUUAUAUUACUAUUGUUAUUUUUUUUACUAUUUGGUAUUUAUCUAUUGUUUUUUGGUAGACGACUAUACUGGUAGUAUCUGGUUAUAAUUUUCUUUUCUUAGUGGUUCUUAUUUGUUGGCUAUGGAGGGUAGCUUGGUUGGAUGAUUUUUCUCUUGUAGUAAGGUGAGUUGGUCAUUUUUUCUUCUAUAAGUAAGGCUUCACCAAUUGUUGAGUAGAUUAUAGCAGCGAAGGUAAGUUUACCUUUCAUGGUUAUAUUAUGUUUCUAAAGAUGACAAUUAGCUAUACUAUUCAUUUUUAGGUUUACUAUUUCUUGAACUUGCCUCCUGGGUUACGGAUGUCUUAACAUUUUCCAUCCCACUCUAUGUAAACCAUUUCUAAAGUUAAUCAAUUUGGAGUCCAUUCUUCUAAUGUGGCUAGUUCAUCACCUAAUAGUGGUUUUGAUAUUGAUGUCAAGAAGUUUUGGAUUCAUCUUUUAGGUUUGUUGGGUUCAUCUCUUGAUGAUAGUUUUCUUAUGGUAUUGAUGUGGAGUUGGAUAGUCUAUUCUUGCCGUGAUGUGCCCCUUAUCUUUAUGGGGUUUUGAGAAGUAGAGAUAGGUGGUAUUUUCUUUAACCAUUUCCUAAGUUGGUGAGUUGGGUAUUUUUUGUUGAGAUGGAGUUUUGAUUGAUUAGUUUCUGGGCUUAAGUUUUAUUUAUCUAAGUAGCUAGAGUUUUGGGUAUCACUAGUAUGGUUUGUAGACUUAGUGAGUUCUUGAGUAUGCUUUGGUGGUUCAUGCCCUCUAGUGGAUAUAGAGUUGAUUACUUGUGUUUUCAAUUGGUGAUUUAUCCUCUGUUGUGAUUUUGUUCUUCAUCUAUUUUUUGAUUUUGAUAGUAAGGUAAAUUUGGUAUUUGGUCUUAGUUUAGGCUUGUUAAAUCAGUUUUAGAUUGACACUUUAGAAUGGUGAUUUGGAGGUUAUAAUAGAAUGGGAGUAUGGAUACUUACCCAUCUUUGGGUUUGGUUUGGGUAGUUGAGAUUCAGUGGUUCAUCCUUGGUUUCAAAAAAUUUAGUUUGG